CGACAUCAUGUUGACACACCAGUUCUCAUCUGACCACCAAAGUUAAGCAAUAUUGAUCCUGGUCAGUAGUUAGAUGGGUGACCACUGCUUGGGAAGUCAGA
This is a non-coding RNA of Acanthosepion pharaonis, 101 nucleotides long. The record is from the annotation of a GenBank genome assembly. NCBI's taxonomy places the organism in Eukaryota, Metazoa, Mollusca, Cephalopoda, Sepiida, Sepiidae.